UACGGAGGGUGCAAGCGUUAUCCGGAUUUACUGGGUGUAAAGGGUGCUCAGGUGGAUUUGUAAGUCAGAGGUGAAAUCCCAAAGCUUAACUUUGGUGCUGCCUUUGAUACUGCAAGUCUAGAGUUUGAGAGAGGGCAAUGGAAUAUCUGGUGUAGCAGUGAAAUGCGUAGAUAUCAGAUAGAACACCAAUGGCGAAGGCAGUUGCCUGGCUCAAAACUGACGCUAAAGCACGAAAGUGUGGGGAGCAAACAGG
This 253-nucleotide ribosomal RNA is filed under the name uncultured bacterium. Its description in RNAcentral is "partial 16S ribosomal RNA". It matches the Rfam family "Bacterial small subunit ribosomal RNA", at positions 524 to 776 of the family's 1533-position model. The record is from RNAcentral.